CCUACGGGUGGCAGCAGUAGGGAAUCUUUCACAAUGGGCGAAAGCCUGAUGGAGCAACGCCGCGUGCAGGAUGAAGGCCUUCGGGUUGUAAACUGCUUUUAUAAGCGAGAAAUAUGAUGGUAACUUAUGAAUAAGGAUCGGCUAACUACGUGCCAGCAGCCGCGGUCAUACGUAGGAUCCGAGCAUUAUCCGGGGUGACUGGGUGUAAAGAGUUGCGUAGGUGGCAUAAUAAGUAGCUAGUGAAAUCUGGUGGCUCAACCAUUCAGACUAUUAGCUAAACUGUUAAGCUCGAGACCGUUAGGGGUAACUGGAAGUUCUAGUGUAGGAGUGAAAUCCGUAGAUAUUAGAAGGAACACCAAUAGCGUAGGCAGGUUGCUGGGACGGUUCUGACACUAAGGCACGAAAGCGUAGGGAGCAAACGGGAUUAGAUACCCCAGUAGUC
Molecule: ribosomal RNA, 442 nt
Filed under: uncultured bacterium
Lineage: Bacteria
Description: partial 16S ribosomal RNA
Rfam family: Bacterial small subunit ribosomal RNA
Source: RNAcentral